RNAcentral lists this long non-coding RNA (737 nucleotides) under Physcomitrium patens. Its description in RNAcentral is "long non-coding RNA (PPAT_LNC010541)". Lineage: Eukaryota; Viridiplantae; Streptophyta; Bryopsida; Funariales; Funariaceae. The record is from RNAcentral.
AAACACUAUUUUUAAUAACUUCAAGAUAUUAUAAGCACAAAGUCUUUUAUUAUUUUUUAGGUUUUAUUUUUUAUUUUAUUUCAUUUUUAUUUUAUUUUAUUUUAUUUUUAUUUUAUUUUUAAUCCUAAUCCUAGACAACAAGCAUUGGCAAGCUAUAAUUCUCAAUCUGACCAUCCAAUUGUUAUAAACUUCUAUUACUAGUGUCUUUGCAAGCCUUCUAAAUGCUCAAGAAGUUUUAAUCCAAACUAACUUAGAGGUUGCAAGAAAAUGCCGUAAAUCCACACUAAUGUAUCUUGACCGCCACCUAGAUGUCCUCAACUUACCAUGUAAAAAUUCACCUUAUUCCAGCCAGUAGAUCUCCAGAUAUUACAGAAAUCCUAAACAACCUCAAUCUGCUAACUCCCAAUACCUCUUUACACUAAUGGUGAAAUAUCCUCUAUCUAUUCCAUCAGAUUAACACAAACUUUUGCAUGCGCUCGGCAUACUCAACCAUCUAGACACCCCUAAAUUUCAACCGCAAAAGUUUUUUUAAUUUUACAAAAUAGUUAAGAGUACUAGCCAUUACUUUAUUGUAAAAAAAACCCAACUCACCAAUACAAACACUGACUUUCAGCAAUGAUUGCAAAAGUCCCCCCAAACCUUAUGAAACCCAAUUCUAUACCUUUUGAAGGAGCUUGAAGUUAGCUCUUCGACUCCAAAAUCCUGAUCUCCAAAUGCCCCUUUCCUUAUCCUCUCUU